UACGGGGGGAGCAAGCGUUGUUCGGAUUUACUGGGCGUAAAGGGCGCGUAGGCGGCCACCGCAAGUCAAUUGUGAAAUCUCCGGGCUUAACUCGGAAAGGUCAACUGAUACUGCGGGGCUAGAGUGCGGAAGGGGCAACUGGAAUUCUCGGUGUAGCGGUGAAAUGCGUAGAUAUCGAGAGGAACACCUGCGGCGAAGGCGGAUUGCUGGGCCGACACUGACGCUGAUGCGCGAAAGCCAGGGGAGCGAACGGG
RNAcentral lists this ribosomal RNA (254 nucleotides) under uncultured bacterium. RNAcentral describes it as "partial 16S ribosomal RNA". It matches the Rfam family "Bacterial small subunit ribosomal RNA", at positions 524 to 776 of the family's 1533-position model. The record is from RNAcentral.